CCCGCACAAGCGGUGGAGCAUGUGGUUUAAUUCGAUGCAACGCGAAGAACCUUACCUGGUCUUGACAUCCACAGAACUUGGCAGAGAUGCCUUGGUGCCUUCGGGAACUGUGAGACAGGUGCUGCAUGGCUGUCGUCAGCUCGUGUUGUGAAAUGUUGGGUUAAGUCCCGCAACGAGCGCAACCCUUAUCCUUUGUUGCCAGCGGUCCGGCCGGGAACUCAAAGGAGACUGCCAGUGAUAAACUGGAGGAAGGUGGGGAUGACGUCAAGUCAUCAUGGCCCUUACGACCAGGGUUACACACGUGCUACAAUGGCAUAUACAAAGAGAAGCGACCUCGCGAGAGCAAGCGGACCUCAUAAAGUAUGUCGUAGUCCGGAUUGGAGUCUGCAACUCGACUCCAUGAAGUCGGAAUCGCUAGUAAUCGUGGAUCAGAAUGCCACGGUGAAUACGUUCCCGGGCCUU
RNAcentral lists this ribosomal RNA (462 nucleotides) under uncultured Enterobacteriaceae bacterium. RNAcentral describes it as "bacterial SSU rRNA". It matches the Rfam family "Bacterial small subunit ribosomal RNA", at positions 920 to 1382 of the family's 1533-position model. The record is from RNAcentral. Lineage: Bacteria; Pseudomonadati; Pseudomonadota; Gammaproteobacteria; Enterobacterales; Enterobacteriaceae.